CUUAACUUGGGAAUUGCCAUCUGGAAACUGGGUUGGGCUAGGAGUCUUCGUAGAGGGGGGGGUAGAAUUUCCCAUGUGUAGCGGUGAAAUGCGUAGAGAUGUGGAGGAAUACCGGUGGCGAAGGCGGCCCCCCCUGGACAAAGACUGACGCUCAGGUGCGAAAGCGUGGGGAGCAAACAGGAUUAGAUACCCUGGUAGUCCACGCUGUAAACGAUGUCGAUUUAGAGGUUGUGGUCUUGAACCGUGGCUUCUGGAGCUAACGCGUUAAAUCGACCGCCUGGGGAGUACGGCCGCAAGGUUAAAACUCAAAUGAAUUGACGGGGG
RNAcentral lists this ribosomal RNA (324 nucleotides) under Proteus sp. (in: enterobacteria). RNAcentral's name for it is "Proteus sp. partial 16S ribosomal RNA". It matches the Rfam family "Bacterial small subunit ribosomal RNA", at positions 608 to 919 of the family's 1533-position model. RNAcentral also lists the same sequence under 1 other name. Lineage: Bacteria; Pseudomonadati; Pseudomonadota; Gammaproteobacteria; Enterobacterales; Morganellaceae. The record is from RNAcentral.